This 29-nucleotide non-coding RNA is filed under the name Cricetulus griseus (Chinese hamster). The record is from RNAcentral. Lineage: Eukaryota; Metazoa; Chordata; Mammalia; Rodentia; Cricetidae.
UAGUAUUGGAGAAGAUUAGAAGUUGGAAG